CCUGGAGGAAGGGGAACAGUGCACAAGUGACUGGUUUCCGCUGAGAUGAAUCUGGCUUCUUUCCUCUGGCUCUUUUGGAGUUUGCCUGCACUUGCAGCAUGUGUAGACAUUCCUGAGCUAGUUUUAAUCGAGCUAGUUCAGGUACCAAUAGUAAUGAAGCUGUGGCCGCACAGACUAGCUGCUGAAGCACAAACCCACUAGGGAGCCUGGGCUCAGGGUACUGAAGAGAUUAAGAAUGGUCUGGAUGUAAUUCUGCAUAUCCUGAUGAGACCUCUCCUUGAUGAGCCUGUGAUCCAAAUAUGGGUGUACUCAGAAUGGAUGAGGAAGGUCAUUGAUUAAAAUGUUAAAUAAUGUGGGGUCAAGAACCGAUCUCUGCAGGACCCCUCCCUGGAGGCAUGCUUGCUUGCUGGUUCACUGUUCGCUGUUCUUUUGAGACUUCUCAGUUAGCCAGUUUUUAAUCCAUUUAAUGUUUGCCAAUUAUCUGGACCUACUGAUUUAAAAAUAUCUAACUUUGGUAGCUUCUGUGUAACAUCCUCCAGAGCUACUAGUGGAAUGGAGAGUGUUAUCAGCAUCAUAUAAUGCGACUAUAUCAUCUGCUUUUUCUCCAAAUACAAAACAGAAACAUUUAUUGAA
Non-coding RNA from Chrysemys picta bellii (western painted turtle), 633 nucleotides. NCBI's taxonomy places the organism in Eukaryota, Metazoa, Chordata, Testudines, Emydidae. The record is from RefSeq and is a predicted model, not a curated record.